RNAcentral lists this long non-coding RNA (2226 nucleotides) under Sorghum bicolor (sorghum). Its description in RNAcentral is "long non-coding RNA (SBIC_LNC015748)". The record is from RNAcentral. Lineage: Eukaryota; Viridiplantae; Streptophyta; Magnoliopsida; Poales; Poaceae.
CGACAGUCGAAGCAGAAGGAAAGAAGCUAAAGAAUUCUGAGCAGUUAUACACUGGGAAUAAAGGCAAGUGCAGACACCCUUUGAUCAUAUUGUACCUAUGAACUUUAAAUACAUUUACUUUCCAGUGCAUGUGUCUUAAUACUGCAAACCCUAAGGACAUGACUAGUCUUCUACUAUAUUCCUUGUAUACCUGGGUUUAUAUAUGGGUAGUAUAGUGAACAGUAGAUAUGCUUAGUUGCUCUACUCAUCUAAUCUAUAUAAUAAUAAUAAUAAUGAUCUUGCUUAAUGAAUUCUUCAAUGAUGAUAAAUGAUUAAAUGGUGAACAAUGGUCACUUCGGUGAUGGAGAUGUUGCGGUGCUUGCGAGCAUCGUGGUUUGGUUGAGGACAGGGGGAGCGGGUACUGUUGGUGGUCCGGUUUGUCGGGCGUACCCGUCUCUGCUCUCCGUAAGGACUUAGUCAGGGAGCGGCCCCCUGGGACUUACAGUGCAGCUCCAAGCUAUAUGGCUCUGGCUUGACUAAUUAGCAGGACCUCCACUAGUAGGGUGUUACUUUCCGGGUAGGCGUGAGGAAGUAACUUGGGUAAUGAAUAUUAAGUUGUCGGUUGAUCGGUACGCCAUGGCUAUGGGUAUCGACUGCCGAGCGCCCCGGCAAAAACUUGCGAGUGGCAUCCUAUUAGUUGGACCCUGUGAAAGGUCUCGUAGUGAGACCCCGCCUGCUCACCUUGGAAGUGUUUUGGGGAGUCGCGACCCCGGGCAAAUGGGAAUCACGACUUGGAGUGAACGUGCACACCUCUGCAGAGUGUAAAACUGAUAUAUCAGCCGUGCUCACGGUCACGAGCGGCCCAGACCCUCACUUGAUGAGCAAAUUGGAUUCACUGGAACUUGGAGGCGAAACUUGGUUGAGGUUGCUACCUCGUGCUUUGACGGAAUGGCUAUUCCGUGUUGGCAGGAUUGGUAUCCUGUGUUCUUAAUUGGGAUUGUUAUCCCAUGAUAUUAAUGGGGUUGCUACCCCGAGUUACUAUCCGAGGUUGCUACCUCGGUGAUCUUAAUAAUAAUAGUGAUUAUAAUGAUGACUAAUAAUAUUGCUAAUUAACCUUCAUCUAAAUAAGGGUUGGGAUGCUUUACCCAUAUUUAGUAAUAGAUUGUUUUAAUAAUAGAGUUGUAAUAAAAGUUUACCAACUUAAAAGCUCACCUGCAGUUAAACAGUGUCAGCUUUUCCUUUGAUUAAGCCUUGCAUGUCAUUAUACUUUCCGCCUGUACUUGUUGAGUUCGACAUGAACUCACCCUUGCUAUUUCCCCCACACUCCAGUGUGUAGUAAAGUGCUGCUCAGAAGAAGAACAAAGAUGCUAUGGAGUUUUCUAGAAGUAUAUGAAAAGUGCUUGGCGUACGGAGCCCCCAGUCAACCGUCCCUGAGAAGAAUGGAGCCUAAGACGUUUAGCUUCUGUUUCUGCGUACUCUGAUGUUUGUAAGUGUUAAUAUAAAUAUGUUUUCCGCUAUAUAUAACAUUGUUUCUGAUAUUUCUAUUCUUUUGUUAUAUGUGUGGACUUCCUGGGCACACAUAUGACGACUCUGGUCUUAUUUUAAAUGCCAGGGUGUGACAAACCAUCAACGUAAAGUCAAUCGCCAAGAAAUUGUACAAGGAAUCGAUGAUCACGACAAUGGCCCCUACAAGCGGAUAAGCGGGACCUAAGGUACCUACCAAAUGCAAUCGCCAAACAUUCGCUUGCAAAAAAACAUCUUACAGCAUCGAGACAUCGCAACCUAGCGAUCCCAAAUUGCCAGCACCCUAGCAGUCCGACAAACCACCACAUAGCUACCACUGCUACAGAUUGAUCCUAUCAUCAAUACUUUUAUCACCGCCACCUGUCAGUGAUAGUUAUCACCAAUGGUUUCUAAUACGAACCGCGCCGGUUUGUAAGAAUGUUCGGAUGGAUAAUUAUCACUGCCACUUCGUCUUACCAAUCAGCGGUGAUAGUUCAUCAUUAUGGCCGGUUUGCACCAUCAACCAGCGGUGAUGAAGUGCUCCUCACCACUGCUGCCUCACCAUAUGAACCACCUUUGAAGAUGUUUUUCACCCCAGCUGCGCUUGUACUUGUAUGAUAUAAUGGUGAUAACUUUGCUAUAGCAUAAUAAAACUCGGAUGAAAACAAACUUUAUAUCAAAGUUGUAGAUCUCGACGAUUUUGUAGUUGAUGGAUUUUUCAUUUUAAAUCAUUUAUGGUCCCAG